CGCGAGCGAACAGGGAAGAGCCCAGCACCGAAUCCCGCGGCCGAUACCGGGCGCCGGGAAAUGUGGUGUUAGGGGGGGAUCCGUUUAUCCCGAGGUGGUGCGGUGCGUCCAAGUCCUUCUUGAACGGGGCCACAGCCCAUAGAGGGUGCCAGGCCCGUAGCGACCGCUGCCGAUCGCGGGAGGAUCUCUCCUCAGAGUCGGGUUGCUUGAGAGUGCAGCCCUAAGUGGGUGGUAAACUCCAUCUAAGGCUAAAUAUGACCACGAGACCGAUAGCGAACAAGUACCGUGAGGGAAAGUUGAAAAGCACUUUGAAGAGAGAGUUCAAGAGUACGUGAAACCGUUCAGGGGUAAACCUGAGAAACCCGAAAGGUCGAAAGGGGAAAUUCAUUCGCGUCUCGACCGUCGGAGUGGGGCGAUCGAGUGACGGACGGCGUACGCGUCGUCCGCGCCUUUCGUUCUAUUAUUCGGCGUCGAACGCGUGCACUUUUCCCCUAGUAGGACGUCGCGAUCCGUUGGGUGUCGGUCUAAGGCUCGCGGUGGAGCCCGGGCGUACGUCUUCGGGCGUUUGCGCUCGGACCCGCGGUGUCCCGGCCGACCCGCUCGACGGUAUACAGAUGGCGCGGGGCCGCUACUUUAGUUAGCGUUCGGC
Molecule: ribosomal RNA, 649 nt
Filed under: Dolichoprosopus yokoyamai
Lineage: Eukaryota; Metazoa; Arthropoda; Insecta; Coleoptera; Cerambycidae
Description: eukaryotic LSU rRNA
Rfam family: Eukaryotic large subunit ribosomal RNA
Source: RNAcentral